This 102-nucleotide ribozyme is filed under the name Aedes aegypti (yellow fever mosquito). Its description in RNAcentral is "drz-agam-1 ribozyme". It matches the Rfam family "drz-agam-1 ribozyme". The record is from Rfam by way of RNAcentral. Lineage: Eukaryota; Metazoa; Arthropoda; Insecta; Diptera; Culicidae.
UGCCCAGCAACUCCUAUCUCUACCUCAUCGCGGUACUGGUAACCUUAGAGAAAAUCGAAUAACCAACCCGGUAGAACUCUGGUCGUAUGCUGACAGAGAAGG